RNA transcript from Papaver somniferum (opium poppy), 3244 nucleotides. RefSeq lists it as uncharacterized. The record is from RefSeq and is a predicted model, not a curated record. Lineage: Eukaryota; Viridiplantae; Streptophyta; Magnoliopsida; Ranunculales; Papaveraceae. The transcript has 3 exons.
UAAACGAAAUGGAUGAAUUGCUCAAUCACUCAGCAUUUAGGUAUUUGAGUAAGUGAAUUUUCAUCUAAAAACCCUAUCUCUCUUUUCAAUUCUUUAUCACCGCCAGAAAUUUGAUUAUGAGUAUGGAGAAGAAGUUGAAGAACGAAACGGGUGCCAGUGGUGGUGAUUCCAAACAAGUAUUGAUGAGUAAUUCUUCUUCUCUUACACUUCCUCAUGAUACUAUUCUAUAUGAUAUACUUACUAGAACGCCCAUUGAUAGUUUAAUGAAAUUUAGAUGUGUAUGCAAAUCAUGGUCUAAUUCAAUCAUUCAUGAUCCUGUUUUUAUCAAUUUGCAUUUACUUCGAAGCCCUAAGAAACUUGGAUUCAUCUGUUUUCCUUCGAAUUUUAAAGAAAUUGUGUUUUUGACUGAACCUCCCGAAGUAGUUGAUAUUGAAAAAGAAAUUGCUCGUCAUGAGGACAAAAAAGAAGACGAGGAUGAGAAUGAUGAUGAUGAGGACGAGGAUGAGAAUGAUGACGAUGAGGAGGAUGAUGAUGAUGAUGGUGAUGAAGAGGAUGAGGAAGAGGGAAAGGAGGAGGAGGAAUCAAUUGAUUAUUUGGAGGAAGAAGUUUUUCCGUUUCGGAAAAGAAACUGGAUUAGUCUAUAAAUGCCUUAAGAUUCAACACUCUUUAAAUGGUUUAGUACUACUAUCAUCUUUCCAAGAGGACAUACCUAGUCUCCAUGUUUACAAUCCAGUUACAGGAUAAAGGAGUACUUAUGUAGGGUUAUUACUCUUGGCGUUGAAGGUGGUGAUCCAUGGAGACCUGUCGUUCUUCCGAAAGAGUGUCAUUUGCCAGAUGUUGCUAGUUGGAAAACGGUGUUCGCAUAUGGUUCUUUGCAUUGGUUGGCUAAUGUUCUGGGUAAACCACAUUUGGAUGAGAGUGAGGUUGAUGAGGAUGCAUGGGAUCAAAGGGAAAUAGUUAGUUUUGAUGUUAGUAGUGAAAGAUUCCACACGAUACAAUUCCCAAAGGGAGCUUCAGAAAAAUGUACUACUAUACAUGAGAUGGAAGGAUCACUCUGCUACAUUGAUCAUAUCUCAGACAAUGAAUUGAGUUUAUGGGUUUUGAAGAAGGAUACCCAACAGCAACAAUAUGAAUGGACAGAGAAGUGCAGUUUUCAUGUACCAGGAAUCUUGGGUCGUUUCUGGUGGGAUCGUGGUAUUGCAAUUGUUACAUAUCCUAGACUUAAAAUGAUAUACGCGCCAGCUUGGAUGGGUGAUGAAGACCAUGCCGACAUGUAUUGGAAUUUCCACUGCUAUGAUGUGCAAUCAAAACAGUUAGAGACUAUGUUUGAGGCAAGUGAAAUGAGGGUUUUCUUGCAUGUGAACAGCUUGGCAUACUUUUAAUCCACUUUUUUUGGUACUAAUCAAGAGAAUUUUACUGCUAUGUUUUUAGUUUUGCAACUUUUGAUAUAGGUAGGUUUUUGUUUUCUCUCUUAUAUUACUGCAUUGACGUCUUCAUUCAGACAUGAUGUGUUUACCAAUUUCUUAGACUGAACAUAGAUUUAUUUUUCUUUAAACAUUUCAUUUUUGCUUCUUCAUUUUCAUGGUUCUCCUAAUCAUGUUUUUGGUUUGAAUCAAGAUUAUAUUAUGCUGUGUAUCAAUGUACCAAAGAGUUUGAGAUUCCUUGUCAGAAAAGAACCGUGUUACAGUGAUGUUGUAUGGCCUGGAAGAAUUGUACUUAUGCAGGGAUAAACCAGAAUGUUGUUAUCGUAGUCCUAGGCUCCUAGCCGCACUUAUACUCAUCCGCAUCAUGGUGUCAGCAUCAUAUGCUUCCACAAUCUGGAAAUGGAGAACACGGGUGAAACUUGAUUAUAAGAAGCCUGUACAUAAUCUACUUCAACUCCGCUUCUGGGUAGCUAAGUUUUUUAUUUGGUACAAAGUUAUAAAAAGACAUGAAUUCAUUUAUUUGGUAAGAUAUGGGAAGUCUUGGCGUAAACUAUGCAUAAGAUGCUGUGGUUUGUCUGAAGAUCUGCAUUGGUGUCUACAUAUCAUUAGACAGUGAUAUAAUUGUUUGUUUUUGUAGAGGGGAUUCUGGACUUCCCUUUUACCUUUAUUUUCUAAAUAACAAAAUAAUGCACAUUCCAUUAUGCAUUUAAGUGUGGUAUACAUCCUGAAGCUCUCUUUUUCAAAGAUGAAUUUUAUAUCCAUGAAUGCAACUGGCAAAAUAAUACAGAGAAAAGUUUGCUUUUGCUGCGAUUUUCUCUUAAACGUUAUCAGUUGUACCGCACUGAGAUAUUUCCUGUCUCGAUAUUAGGUGUUCGCUUCUCUAAUUGUAAAGUGAUAGAAUAUGGUUGGCCACCGUGAAUAGACAUUGAUAUGGUGAUCUAUAUUCUGUUCUUAUUUUUGCAGUUCGAGGCUUUUGCACUUUCUGGUACUGAUGUGAUGUUAGUAUUUGGUAGUAUGGUAUUUAAUUAAUUUUGAAACAGGUUGCAUUACAGUUUUUGCUGGAAAAUUGAAUUCCACAUCUUGUCUUCUUUAUGACAGCAAGUGAUCCUGUUAUCAGGUUUUAAGCAUAGAAGAAACAUAUGUUGGCAGAGGAUUAUCCUUGGCACAUGGGAGUUACUGAAGCUGGUGAAGGUGAAGAUGCACAGAUGAAAUCUGCAAUUUGUAUGGGAACCCUUCUACAGGAUGGUUUGGGGGAUACAUCAGGGUUUCCGUCACAGAACAAAAGCACCAGAGGAAGAGAUAAGUCCUUGCAGAAGACUGACAAAUCUUUUUAUGGAAUUAUAAAGCAUCAAAUCUUCAGUAAGAGAGUGAUGUCCCUUGUUGUUCUUGAGGCACCUCAUAUGUUGGUUGUGUUCUUGGGGAAUGUGUUUUCUUCCUCAUUUACAUUUGAUCUUUUUGACAUACUCAGAACUUCAAUCCAUAAUAUCCUCUUACACACAGUGAUGAGGUCGAUAAUAGAGGUGUCCUGCAUCCUGAUGGCCCUGUUCUAAUGUCUGUGUCCCUGGAUCAGUUGUAAAAAUUUCUAGCGGUCAAGCCAUGUCAGAUUGUUAUCUGUAUCAGUAUUGCCUGUACGUACUGUACCUCAAGAGAGCAACUUUCAUAACCAAAAUCUCGUAAAGGAUUAUGUCCUAGCGUACUGGAAAACAGUUGACUUACCUCUGGUUAUUAUUAGAGCAGAAGCCAUAUAACAUGUUUUUUUUAUAACCACGUAUAACCCCCGGUAUCCGCAGGUCGCAGCAAUCGUCCUAAUUCGUGAAUCA